This is a long non-coding RNA of Lolium rigidum, 442 nucleotides long. RefSeq lists it as uncharacterized. The record is from RefSeq and is a predicted model, not a curated record. The transcript has 2 exons. Lineage: Eukaryota; Viridiplantae; Streptophyta; Magnoliopsida; Poales; Poaceae.
AGUAACCUUUGAGUAAAUCUAGGAGGGGCAUGACAGAUGAGAGAUUGUUCUGAUUAAGCAAGGCACAGAAAGCAACUGCAAAGUGAGAAGCACCCUGGAGAAAUACACAUCUGUAUGCUACUACUUUCAGGCAUGUUACUGAAAAAACAUGGUCAGUACAAAAUAGUUUGGACCUGAUGUGAUUUAUCAGCAUAUCUGAAGCAAGCAGAUUUUCCUUGACCAAAAGCCAAGAUGAGGCAGGGGACAAGUCCAUAUCACUCCUAUAUUGUGGAAAGGGCCAAAGGAGUUGGUUAUUUUUGAGACAGCCUGACACACUGGCUGUCCUGCAAUUCACUGUUAUGCAAGCUAGCAAAAAUAAAGUGCAAGAGGUGGCUGCAUGCAUUACUGACACUAGGACAUCCCCUGUUUUAACAUUGGUAAAUGCUGAAAAUUACUUCCCCUC